GGUUCCGCUAUCCCGGGGUGCUUCUACCGCCUCUUGGUUAUCCAAAGCAUUUCAAUCAGGUUUCCCCAAGCAAUUGGAGAGGAAUCUGCUUCUGUAUCGAGCGCUUAUACUAGCUCAAAGCGUUGUAUCCGGGGGCUUAGUAGAGCCCAUUAAGAUUCACCAAAUACAAAGCACAAGGUCUUUUUUCUGGUUCACCACAGAAGGCAGGUUGUCUGCUAAGUCUAUGGUCCG
Molecule: long non-coding RNA, 231 nt
Filed under: Lupinus angustifolius (narrow-leaved blue lupine)
Lineage: Eukaryota; Viridiplantae; Streptophyta; Magnoliopsida; Fabales; Fabaceae
Description: long non-coding RNA (LANG_LNC002623)
Source: RNAcentral